RNAcentral lists this unclassified non-coding RNA (293 nucleotides) under uncultured fungus. RNAcentral describes it as "partial contains 5.8S ribosomal RNA, internal transcribed spacer 2, and large subunit ribosomal RNA". Lineage: Eukaryota; Fungi. The record is from RNAcentral.
AACGCACCUUGCGCCCUUUGGUAUUCCGAUGGGCAUGCCUGUUCGAGUGUCUUGAAUUCAUCGCCACCUCGGGUUUUUCGGAACUCUGGGGCGGGCGGAGCUGGGGGCCUGCCGCGGCGACGCGGCUCCCCUCAAAGCCAUCGGUGGGGUUGCCGGUCAUCCCGGGCGUUGUAAUCACCUCGUCCGACACGGAUCGACCGUGCUCCCUUCCACGACCUGCCGGCAAGCGCGGCGGUCAAGCUUAAACUUUGAAAUCUGACCUCGAAUCAGGUAGGACUACCCGCUGAACUUAA